Molecule: ribosomal RNA, 244 nt
Filed under: uncultured bacterium
Lineage: Bacteria
Description: partial 16S ribosomal RNA
Rfam family: Bacterial small subunit ribosomal RNA
Source: RNAcentral
UUCCUACGGGAGGCAGCAGUGAGGAAUAUUGGUCAAUGGUCGGGAGACUGAACCAGCCAAGCCGCGUGAGGGAUGAAGGUACAGAGUAUCGUAAACCUCUUUUGUCAGGGAACAAAGGCGGGGACGUGUCCCCGGAUGAGUGUACCUGAAGAAAAAGCAUCGGCUAACUCCGUGCCAGCAGCCGCGGUAAUACGUAGGUGGCAAGCGUUAUCCGGAUUUACUGGGUGUAAAGGGCGUGUAGGCG